RNAcentral lists this transfer RNA (74 nucleotides) under Nanobdellota archaeon. RNAcentral's name for it is "tRNA-Arg". It matches the Rfam family "tRNA". From Rfam's summary of the family: Transfer RNA (tRNA) molecules are approximately 80 nucleotides in length. Their secondary structure includes four short double-helical elements and three loops (D, anti-codon, and T loops). The record is from RNAcentral. Lineage: Archaea; Nanobdellati; Nanobdellota.
GCCCCUGUAGUAUAGCCUGGAUAGUACAUAACCUUGCGGUGGUUAAAACCACGGUUCAAAUCCGUGCAGGGGCA